AGCAGCAUGGCGCAGUUGGAAGCGCGCAGGGCCCAUAUAUAUACUCAUGUACAUAGGUCACCCUGAGGUCACUUGAUCGAAACAAGUUGCUGCUA
Non-coding RNA from Tephrocybe sp. NHM501043, 95 nucleotides. The record is from the annotation of a GenBank genome assembly. NCBI's taxonomy places the organism in Eukaryota, Fungi, Basidiomycota, Agaricomycetes, Agaricales, Lyophyllaceae.